ACCUGUCCGUCACGGUCUCCUGGUCGCCUGGUCUCCCUGCGCCUCAGGGGCAAAGUUAACGCGAAGUGCUGUCCUCUGCAGACCCGUCGGCCACAUCCGCAUAAUUCCCGCCCAAAUGAAUGUGAAUGAAACCUCAUACAACCUGCACAACGUACACCUACGACUGGCUACAUUCAGCACUCCUCACUGGCUACACGCAGCACUCCUCACUGCCAAACGAAGUCAUCCUGUGCGAUGGCAACUACUACUGUUGAAUGUGCUUAGCAUCAUGGAAGGCGGUUUCCCCGCAACAAAAGCAAACAAAACUCAUAAGAUUACCCAGACAUGAUGCACACAUACGUGCAGAUGUUUAUGAUACAGCAACGCAGCACACACAUGUACUCGCGUUCCGCACCCCCACCCUCCACACACAAACACACACACGCACACAAAACACGGUAUUGUCUAUCAGAAGCGGCAUCGGGACACAGCAGCAAGAAGCAAGGCCCGGCGCACCUGUCGCCAUGCCAGCGGUGGAGCACCCUGCGACGGCUGGUCUGCAGCACGUCCUGGGCUGAGAACACGUCCACGUCCAGCACCUGGGCAGGGCCACACGCCGGGCGCAGCUUCACAGGCUCUUGCGGUGGGUUGCCUUCCACCCUGGCCCACGCCACCACGCCGCGCGCCUUGACGUCCACGGGAAGCUGGUGCCAGAGCGUGGCCGACCGCUGGCGUAUGACGUGGUAGCCGCACAGCAGGACCAUCGCCGAGCGUUUGAGCUGCGGAAUGGCGGCGGACGUGCCUGUGCCACACCAGCAAUGCAGUGAUGGAGCUGUAUGUGAUGAACAGCAUGCUCCCAGGGUGGCAUCCGGGUGGCCAACUACCUCCGCAUUACACUAGGCUGUCGCACGAUCACAUGAUCACACACUGCUACGCCAGGGGUAACUGUCUGCUUGCGGCGAGCAAGCCUGCACCCACCCUUGCUGCUGGUCUUGGUCUCCACCAAGGUCAAGUCCGCCCAGCUGCCGGAGGCACGCAGCGAUAGUCUAUCCACCUCCAACUCAGAGACGGCCGGCGACAGGCAGAAGCCGCCACUGCCACCGCCCGCGCUCGCCCCGCCACCGCUGGCCUUGCCGGCGCUCGACCCGCCGCUGUGGCUGCCACACACUGCGACCGCAGGCUGCAGGCUGCUCAGCGCCGGCAUGAACAGCUCGCGUGCCAGCAACUGCCAGCGCUGGUCCGCCGUUCCGCGCAUGUACCUCUUCAGGGCACAGUAAAUGGCGAGCGAGGUUUUCGCGCCGUCCGCCGGUGACGACUUGACGCUGCUAGCUGGGCCUGAGCCCUGCUGCUGCUGCUCCUUGUGUGAUUUCCUUGUCGCCGUCGCUGCUGCUGCUGCUGCCACGGCGGCGGCGGCGGUCCACCCCCAGCAGCUUCCGUGCAGCCCCAAUUAGUGCCAGCGCGUCCUACAGCACGCUUUUGAACUUUGCGUCCAGCUUGGCGUCCAGCUUGGCGUCCUGAUCGCUGAACUUGGCGUCCAGCUUGGCGUUUUGCUCGCUGAACUUGGUGUCCAGCUUGGCGUUCAGGAACUCUGCCAGCGUCGCCCUCCCCUGAAAUGGAAAUACGAGUGAUGUGAGGCGCAUGAAAACUGGUGCAACGUCUUUGCAGGCGCAACGUCUUUGCAGGCUUUACUAGGGCUUCCACUCACGUCAUCAGGAGCCCCGAGCUCGCCCGCCGCAGCGGAAGCUGCCACUUUGGGCGUUCCGCGCAGUAAUUGAGCUCUCGAGCUUUGCAGCUGGAUGCGCAGAGCUGCGAAGCGGCCCGCAAAGCAAGAUUUGCGUCAUUCCGUUAAAGCCCUCGUUUGGGCGCCAGUCUUGCAAAGCGCACCUGUACAGCAUCCGCUGGAUGGCACGCGGUGGACGCACGAGGAGACAGCAGACGCAGGCGGGUUGACUGAUAGGCGCGAGCGCGUCGUUCGCGGCGGAGAGUUUACGUUCACGAACUGUAAGGGCAUGGCUACUGGGGUACUCCAGCAAAGGAAAAUACCAGGGGACUGCAGAUUACAGGAACGCUUGGAAGUGCUACGUGGAUUCACGGAGCUCGCGCUCGCACAAUGAGCCUCUUUCCAAUCGACUUUAGAAUGCUGACAAUGCUCGCCCGCAGUACCGCUGCCUUGUGGGAAUGUGCAAUAACAACACCAAGUAUUUCGGGAAACAUAUUGGGGCGGCCAAAAGCCGAGGUCGGACCCAUUUGGUCGGGGCCCGCCUUCCGCGAAGGUUGACACGCGGCAAACACCCAGCACGCCAACAGGCAGGCGUUUGUUGCCCCCCGCCCUUCCUCCCCCUCCCCCGUCCCGUGAGCUGGUUGCGCCACCGACGGCGGCGCUCAGCGGGGCCUUUGCUGCUUCCAGAGCCAUCCCCCUCUAAUUUGUGCGACCGAAUGCAAGCCAUGCUCGCGCCUAUGCCGCGCCUGCUAUCCACAAAAUACCGCCACCUUCAACUGCCACCACUGCCGUCCAUGUACCCUGCAGGUGCGCGCCAUCGCGAACCACCGAGCUCUCCCGCACGGCAUUGUGUGCUGUCUGUGACGUGUGGCCUGGCCGGGCGACCCGGAGUGCGAGGAGUGCGUUUCAGCGAUUUCAGCCCAGCUCAGCGGCACUACUCAGCAGUUCGUGGACCAUCUAGCCGCAGCACCAGCGCAUCAAACUUCGGUGGCGGUGGUAACGUGGUAUUGGUAAGGGGGGGCUGGGCACUACACGGCACGGGGCGCUGUCUUCCAACGAUCAUCGGUGCCUGGGCUGGGCUGGGCGCACGUGGGUCCUGGGACUGUUUUGGGACUAUUUGGGAUGGUUAUUUCAUCCCUUGCCAAGUUACGUCAACUGCUGCCACCGCGCACCCGCAUGCAGCCUGCCAACGCGCCGCCAACGCUGGCGACCAACCGCUGCGCGCCUUCGAGCUGUUCUUCCUGCAUGGUGGCUAGGAGGCGGCGCUGGCGGUGACGGGCGGGCCGCUGCUCUGGACCACGAUGGCACAGAACGUGCAGAGCCUGCGGUGAGCUGAGGAAGGAGGCCUUGGGGGGCGGGGACAUCUCAUCUGACAUAAAACCGUGGGGUUGGGGCAGCACGUGGCAAGCUGCUCCCUGAAAGGAAGCGAAGACAUCUGAGGUUGUAGGCUGCAUGUCUCCCACCCACCCCUUGUUCAGACGGGGCAGUUCCCCGGGGGCUCGACAGUGCGAUUGAGGCCAUCGACAAGCCGCGCUGCAGCUGUGGCUUGAGCUACAUGCAGAAUAUGUUGCGCCAGGCUGCUGAGAAGAGCACUGGUGCCGGCACGCGUGGACAAGUCUAAGCCCUUGAGCCGUCAAGCCCAGUAGCGAGUACAUAGUCGAGCACAUCUUAUCACUGGUUGACAUCUUAUCACUGGUUGUCAGGCUGUCCUUUUUCUUCAUCACCCACGCAGCCCUGCAAAACCCGAGCGUCAUCACUGCAACGCUCUUCAAUGUGUGUGACAUGUGCCCGUCACUACAACAUGCACCCUCACGUGCCCGCCACACUGCUGUGCGCCACAUUCUCCGCUGCAUCACGCGGGAAUUUCAUUCCGACAUUCCGACAAGUGUUCCCAGGUCACAGGAAAAGGGGCUGAGCCCCUCCACAGUCUGAGGCCGAACAACCUCAUCGCCCCAACAUAGCCGGGAUCGGUUUCCACAGGCACAUAGCCAAACCCUGUGCCUAGCAAUCGUGAUGCCACAGCAGAGCCAACGGCAGCCAGACGCAGCACAGUUCUCAACAGCCGCACUACUUGUCAUGCCGCUACGCAUGCCCUGCCAGCCCCACCGCGGACCGCUACCUAGACACCAGCCGGCUCCUCAGCCUGCGCGCUUGCGCCGCUUUUGGCACUUUUUGUCGACGCAGGCAUCAGGCAGGCACAGGCAGGCACAGGGACAGCUCGCCUGGUCGCCUGGUCUCCCUGUGCCUCAGGGGCAAAGUUAACGCGAAGUGCUAUCCUCUGCAGACCCGUCGGCCACAUCUGCAUAAUUCCCGCCCGAAUGAAUGUGAAUGAAACCUCAUACAACGUGCACGACAUACAUCUACGACUGGCUACAUUCAGCACUCCUCACUGGCUACACGCAGCACUCCUCACUGCCAAACGAAUUAAUCCUGUGCGACGGCAACUACUACUGUUGAAUGUGCUUAGCAUCAUGGAAGGCGGUUUCCCUGCAACAAGCAAACAAAACUCAUAAGAUUACCCAGACACGAUGCACACAUACGUGCAGAUGUUUAUGACACAGAAACGCAGCACACACAUGUACUCGCGUUCCGCACCCCCACCCUCCACACACAAACACACACACGCACACAAAACACGGUAUUGUCUAUCAGAAGCGGCAUCAGGACACAGCAGCAAGAAGCAAGGCCCGGCGCACCUGUCUCCAUGCCAGCAGUGGAGCACCCUGCGAC
This 4429-nucleotide long non-coding RNA is filed under the name Chlamydomonas reinhardtii. RNAcentral's name for it is "long non-coding RNA (CREI_LNC000945)". The record is from RNAcentral. Lineage: Eukaryota; Viridiplantae; Chlorophyta; Chlorophyceae; Chlamydomonadales; Chlamydomonadaceae.